Molecule: long non-coding RNA, 2334 nt
Filed under: Homo sapiens (human)
Lineage: Eukaryota; Metazoa; Chordata; Mammalia; Primates; Hominidae
Description: HSALNT0088395
Source: RNAcentral
GAAGAGCCAAACCAAUGAUUAAGCUCACGUGUUGUGAACUGCAAAGUCAUUUGAACAAUUUCAAAGCCAUCAGUGACAAAGGCUUUCUCCUGAUGGAUCUUUCUGCCCAUUGAACUAGAACACUCAUGGAAACAUGUUCAGGCUCCCUCACUCCAUGUAGGUCAGACUACAGGCAAUUUCCCUAGAGACAACAGAGGCGUUUUGAAAAGACCAUAGGAUUUAUCAUCAGAAGCCAUGCAUUCAUUUUCUGCUACUGCUGCAUACUAGUGGUUUUGCCUUCAACAGUCAUUUGACCUUGAACAGCCCCUUGGCCUGUCAGAAACACAAUGUCCGUGUGUGUAAGAUGAAAACAACAAUAUUUGCAUCCCACAGGGAUGAUGAAGAUGCUAUGGGUGGGGGCUUUAUGAACAAUCAACCAAGAUUUAAAUACCUUUUCCAGGAUUCAUCUCUAUGUUUCUUUUUCUUGCCUCUCCCAUUUUCUAAAAUCUUCAAGACAAUGUUAUUAUUUCUUCACACACAUCCUCCAUUUCGAACUUCUGCCCACUCCUGUUGUUUAUCUUUUCAUUCGUUUUUAUUCAAGUGGCUGCUAAGGGCUACUCUGCAAGGUGCGUGAACACACUCUCCUCAGGCUAUCCCCAAAUCAGGACAAGUCAGCUCAGAUGAGGCUCACUUUUGCUGAACUUCAGAUGCUUUUAUCAUUUUCCUUACAAUUCUCUCCUAUUUUUUGAAGUUUAGAGGAAGAAAACUGCCUGGAUGCUAAGUGUUGAAGGAAUCAGACAGAGCUUAUUACAAACAAUCUGGGUUUCUAAGUAAAAAGCAACAUGAAAUCCUUUUACCCACAUUCAGAUAGGUCUCUUGUGUUUCUUGAAGAGCAGUCGUGGGACUAGCUAACAACCUGGGGUAUCAGUGGAAAAUACUUUCCUUCAUCUGACACGAACAUGCAGGAAAAGUCUUAAUGGGACAUUGCAGUUGUUUUGCAAAAAAAUGAAAGAAAAAUCAUUCUAUGGGCUUGCUCCUCUUGACAUGGUAGCGCUCAACUCCCAAUAUAUAUCUAUGUAUCUUAUUCAGGAUAAUAAAUGAACAUUAAAAUAUUGUUUGUGUUUAAGGUCUCAGUAAGCGAUAACUACUCACAACCUGGUUGGGGUUUAUAGGAGUUCAUAAAAUAUGCCAAGAACGUCUAAGCUUUCAUUCCCUUGUAUUGAAUCUAUAGUAAGGGAAGUAUAAUAAAUGAAAAUUAGGGCCAGGCACAUUGGCUCACACCUGUAAUCCCAGCACUUUGGGAGGCCGAGGUGGGCAGAUCACUUGAGAUCAGGAGUUUGAGACAAUCCUGGCCAACAUGGUGAAACCCCAUCUCCACUAAAAAUAACAAAAACUAGCUGGGAGUGGUGGCGGGCACCUGUAGUCCCAGCUACUUGGGAGGCUGAGGCAGGAGAAUCACUUGAACCCAGGAGGCGGAGAUUGCAGUGAGCAUUGAUCGUGCCACUGCACUCCAGCCUCAGUGACAGAGCAAGAUUCUGUCUCAACAGCAACAACAACAACAACAACAACAACAACAACAACAACAAAAGAAAAAGAAAUAGAAAAUUAGGAUUUCACAAAAACAAAUUUUAAGAGGAAGAUUACAAGAUUACUCGCUAAGUUAGUGAUGCCAAAAAAGGUAACUCCAUUUUGAAUCAAUUAUGGCUUAUUUAAAAUAUCUCAUUUUUAAGGUGGAGACAUCCAUUUACACACUUACAUUGAAUGAAUAAAGACUGUCUAUUUCAUUUACUAAGUUUAUGGAUUACAUCUAAUUUAUUUAUAUUGUUACUUAAUAGUUUUUGGAUGUGUACAAUUCUGAAGAAAUAAACUAAAAUAUGCCAGUAUAAUCAUGUGUUUUAAAUAAAGUUUCCUUACAUUUCUAAUAGUUUUUGUCUUAUAGUUUUAGUUGCUAUAUUGUUGAGCACAUGUGCAUUUCAAAUAAUUUUAACUUCAUCAUUUCUAUCCCAUGGUGUUCUAGUAAAUGGUUAGCAAUUGGCUCUAGAGGAGGGGAGGAAGAAAGCCCUGAUUUGUAUCAUUUCCAAUUUCUACGGUGUAAAUAAUCACACUGUGGCCAAUUUCAAUAUGAUGUUAUUGAACAUGGAGUUAGGAAGAUAUGUUAACCAUAGGCUCUUACAAGCUGGUACCAGCUAACGCCCUAACACCACUGAUUUUACCUUUUUUUGGUGUUUAAACUUGACAUUUCCCCUUGUCUAAUCUUAAUAUUGUUACUGCUGAAUUGUUUUGGUUUGGAUUUGCCCUAUGUCUUUGCAUAUUUCUUUAUUCCCAAUCGUUAUAAAUAAAUUUUAAAUGUUUCCC